AAAAGUAAGUAAGGGCACAUGGCGGAUGCCUUGGCUCUCGGAGGCGAUGAAGGACGUGAUAAGCUGCGAUAAGCUGCGGGUAGGUGCAAAUGACCUUUGAUCCGCGGAUUUCCGAAUGGGACAACCCGGUACCUUGAAGAGGUACCAUUCCACAAUGUGGAAGGCUAACGCAGGGAACUGAAACAUCUUAGUACCUGCAGGAAAAGAAAAUAAACAAUGAUUCCCCCAGUAGUGGCGAGCGAACGGGGAACAGCCCAAACCAUCCAUGUUACGGCAUGGGUGGGGUUGUAGGACCACGCCGUGGCAAGAAAGUUGGUGAGCAGAAUGUUCUGGAAAGUACAGCCAUAGAGCAUGACAGCUGCGUAUGCGAAGCCAAGCGAAGCCUAGUGGUAUCCUGAGUAGCGCGGAGCACGAGGAAUUCUGCGUGAAUCUGCCGGGACCAUCCGGUAAGGCUAAAUACUCCCGAGAGACCGAUAGUGAACCAGUACUGUGAAGGAAAGGUGAAAAGCACUUCGAACAGAAGAGUGAAAUAGUUCCUGAAACCAUGUGCCUACAAGCGGUCGGAGCACUUUUAGUGUGACGGCGUGCCUUUUGCAUAAUGAACCUACGAGUUACUUUUUCCGGCGAGGUUAAGGAUCUCAGAUCCGCAGCCGAAGCGAAAGCGAGUCUGAACAGGGCGUAUAGUCGGAAGGAGUAGACGCGAAACCAAGUGAUCUACCCUUGGGCAGGUUGAAGGAUGGGUAACACCAUCUGGAGGACCGAACCAAUAAGCGUUGAAAAGCUUCUGGAUGACCUGAGGGUGGGGGUGAAAGGCUAAUCAAACUUGGAGAUAGCUCGUACUCCCCGAAAUGCAUUUAGGUGCAGCCUUGACUUAUACUGACAUGAGGUAGAGCGACUGAUAAGAUGCGAGGGCUUCACCGCCUAUCAAGUCUUGACAAACUCCGAAUGCGUGUCAGUUCUAUGUCAGGAGUGAGGGCAUGGGUGCUAAGGUCCAUGUCCUAAAGGAGAACAAUCCGGACCAACAGCUAAGGUCCCGAAAUGAAUACUAAGUUGAACUAACGAAGUCAGAUUGCUAAGACAGCUAGGAUGUUGGCUUGGAAGCAGCCAUUCAUUUAAAGAGUGCGUAACAGCUCACUAGUCGAGGAGUUUGGCGUGGAUAAUAAUCGGGCAUAAGUAUUCUACCGAAGCUUUGGGAUGAGAAAUCAUCGGUAGGGGAGCAUUCCACUCUGCGUCGAAGGUAAGGCGUGAGCCUUGCUGGAGCGUGUGGAAAAGCAAAUGUAGGUAUAAGUAACGAUAAAGGGGGUGGGAAACCCCCUCGCCGAAAGACUAAGGUUUCCUGAUCAACGCUAAUCGGAUCAGGGUAAGUCGGGUCCUAAGGCUCAGCCGAACGGCGAGGCCGAUGGCAGAACCGGUUAAUAUUCCGGUACUACCUUAAGGAGUGACGUGGAGACGGAGUCGUGACAGCGCCGCGGACUGACGGAAUAGUCCGUUGAAGGGUGUAGAUGUUGAUUGUUCCAGGCAAAUCCGGAACGAGAGUCGAACCUGACAGUAUGGAGCGUCCUUCUGGACAAUCCAAUAGUGCGUGUAAUCAUACUUCCAAGAAAAUCCGCUAAACUUAAUCCUUACGGUACCCGUACCGCAAACGGACACACGUAGUCGGGUUGAAUAUACUAAGGCGCUUGAGUGAUUCACGGUUAAGGAACUAGGCAAACUGACCCUGUAACUUCGGGAUAAAGGGUCCUCAAGCAAUUGAGGCGCAGAGAAUAGGUCCAGGCAACUGUUUAACAAAAACACAGGGCUGUGCAAAAUUGAAAGAUGAAGUAUACAGCCUGACACCUGCCCGGUGCUGGAAGGUUAAGAGGAGACGUCAUCGCAAGAGAAGCGUUGAAUUGAAGCCCCAGUAAACGGCGGCCGUAACUAUAACGGUCCUAAGGUAGCGAAAUUCCUUGUCGGGUAAGUUCCGACCUGCACGAAUGGUGUAAUGAUCUGGACGCUGUCUCA
Molecule: ribosomal RNA, 2001 nt
Filed under: human gut metagenome
Description: bacterial LSU rRNA
Rfam family: Bacterial large subunit ribosomal RNA
Source: RNAcentral